Molecule: ribosomal RNA, 749 nt
Filed under: uncultured Sulfitobacter sp.
Lineage: Bacteria; Pseudomonadati; Pseudomonadota; Alphaproteobacteria; Rhodobacterales; Roseobacteraceae
Description: bacterial SSU rRNA
Rfam family: Bacterial small subunit ribosomal RNA
Source: RNAcentral
UUCGGGGGCGAGCGGCGGACGGGUUAGUAACGCGUGGGAACAUACCCUUUACUACGGAAUAGCCUCGGGAAACUGAGAGUAAUACCGUAUGUGCCCUUCGGGGGAAAGAUUUAUCGGUAAAGGAUUGGCCCGCGUUAGAUUAGAUAGUUGGUGGGGUAAUGGCCUACCAAGUCUACGAUCUAUAGCUGGUUUUAGAGGAUGAUCAGCAACACUGGGAUUGAGACACGGCCCAGACUCCUACGGGAGGCAGCAGUGGGGAAUCUUAGACAAUGGGCGCAAGCCUGAUCUAGCCAUGCCGCGUGUGUGAUGAAGGCCUUAGGGUCGUAAAGCACUUUCGCCAGAGAUGAUAAUGACAGUAUCUGGUAAAGAAACCCCGGCUAACUCCGUGCCAGCAGCCGCGGUAAUACGGAGGGGGUUAGCGUUGUUCGGAAUUACUGGGCGUAAAGCGUACGUAGGCGGAUCAGAAAGUAUGGGGUGAAAUCCCAGGGCUCAACCCUGGAACUGCCUCAUAAACUCCUGGUCUUGAGUUCGAGAGAGGUGAGUGGAAUUCCAAGUGUAGAGGUGAAAUUCGUAGAUAUUUGGAGGAACACCAGUGGCGAAGGCGGCUCACUGGCUCGAUACUGACGCUGAGGUACGAAAGUGUGGGGAGCAAACAGGAUUAGAUACCCUGGUAGUCCACACCGUAAACGAUGAAUGCCAGUCGUCGGGCAGUAUACUGUUCGGUGACACACCUAACGGAUUAAGCAUCC